RNA transcript from Ceratosolen solmsi marchali, 2456 nucleotides. It is a transcript of the gene named probable serine/threonine-protein kinase abkD, with no coding region annotated. The transcript is spliced from 2 exons. NCBI's taxonomy places the organism in Eukaryota, Metazoa, Arthropoda, Insecta, Hymenoptera, Agaonidae. The record is from RefSeq and is a predicted model, not a curated record.
GCGAAAAAUAAAUAUGUUUGCAUAACGUAAACAUGAUCUUUUGACUGUUUUUAAAUUUUUAUUCCUGCACAAAUUUCGGUUACCGAUAAUUAUUCCGGUACCGACACUUUAAAGAAGAUGAAAUUUUCAAAAGUGAGAAAAUACAAAGCGAAUGAUGUCCAACAAGGCUUCUCUGCCAGUCGUAUUACCAAGGAAAUAAGUAAAAUCUACAACAUUAAGCUCAACAAAACCCUUCGGAAACAAGUCGAAUUAGCCCUUUGCCGCGGCGUCAAUUAUGGAAUAUUAACGAAAAUUAAAAAUAAAUAUAGAAUUGCUUUGCCAUAAGUGAUCAUUGGUUCUUUAAACUACGCAAUUAACAGCUGUGACAGAAAUAUACAUAUUCGUGGAAACUCAACGAUGGGACGGGGAACGGGUUUGUAAUCGUUGCAGAUACAAUCCCGACAACUCCAUAAUAAAAUCCGUAAGAUUCAGCCCGAAGACGAAGCCACGAUUUAACAAGGCUUUUAACACGUGGAUCUGCUCAAAUUGCUCGAAGAAACAGCCGUUGUUGCUAAAUAGCAAACAUCGGCAGCAACAACAGCAGCAGCAGCAGCAGCAGCAGCAGCAGCAGCAGCAGCAGGAACAACAGCAGAAGAAGAAACCGAACAUUUUGCCGAUGGUACCGAGGCCUACUGUACCUCCUCCACCCAACUGGAAUACCAAGCCGAAGAACCUCACGACGGAGCCCUUUGCCAAGGUCAUCAAGCACUAAAUGCUCCCAAAGCCAAAGAGGCGUACUAAUAAGGAUCGAAGAUCUAGGGCAUCUUCGCAUUUUCGAGACACGACAAUAAGGGAAUAAGGGAAUAAGGGAAUAUGAAGAAUAGGAAGAAACCAAUAAAACGUAUACCGUGGCAGCUCCCGCGCACGAUCCGUUACACGAUCCGCUACAUUAUCCGCUCUUAAUGCUCUCGACGGCAAAUAAAGAGCUCGUUAAAUGCGACUAACCGAGGUGCUUGCUCCUCUCGUUCCCUCGUUUCGCGGGUUCAAUGUACCGCGGCCGGGGGGCUUAAGGCCCGGCAAUUUUACGCUGCCCGGAGGUGAGCUCGGGGCGGAGCAGCUCGAGGAUAAUGGGCAUUGACCGCAAAUUCGCCGGACCGCAAGACAUACCCGAGCAAUCGAGGACGGUGCGUGAAACAACCGAAAAUAGCCGCGGCUAAUCGCGGGGGAACACGUAAUCCUAGACAUCCGGCACCUGUUAUCUCCUCCCCGGGACACACGAUUAAGCCGAAAGCGCGUUCCCACACUCACCCACAUUUUACAAAUCCUAAUGGAUUUUACUUAAGAGAGAGAUCGCCCUUUCUCGAUCUUAUUACAUUUCCGUCUCUUUCGCUAUGUUUUUUUCUCGCUGCUCCUCAGCCCGACGGUGUCCUCGAGUGUUCCGGCGCUGCGGCCAAAUUAUGUAGAUUAGGUCGGCCCCGAGUGUAAGUAAGUACGCCGACAAAAGCGUUUGCCCUGCGAAAACUUUGAAAUUUCAAAUUAAUUGUUAUCAAGGUUAAUAAUUCUCGAGGCAGGGGACAAAGCCACCCCGUUACUGCGGCUUGUCCAAACACCCGGAUUUUCAAUCGAGCGCGCUUAACAUUAAUUCCGACGCUUAUGCAGAUUCGGCCGAUCGAGGCGAAAUUCCGCGACAAUUUCUCAAUAUUCUGCUCGAUGGUGGACGGGGGCGAAUAUCGUAACAUCCCACCCCUCGUACGCACUCGCAUAAUAAUGAAGCUAGUGCAAAGGCGCGGGGGUCGAAAGCGCUUAUAAAUAUUUCAAAAUGAAAUUGGCUGCUAAAGAGUCGGCGCUUGUGCAUUGUUGGCCCAUUGUCAUUGCAACAAUGGCGGGGGAGGGGAGGUGGCUCGAUAUCGGUUGCAUUGUUCGUAAAUUGCACGUUGCGCGGGCGCGUCACAAUGCCGAGGCAACAAGAUCGCAAGUUUAGCGGGAGUCCAGCUCGAUCCGAAGUGCCGCUGAAUUAGGCCUCGACGAUGUUUUCUAGAAAAUCACGGAUGAGCGCCAUAUGUCGCCGAUCGUGGAGACAUUGGGACUACCACAUUUUUUUCUGGUUCCGUAUUCACCGAGCAAAUCGACUAAUCGGGGGCAGUUAGGUCGGGUCGCAGGUGGACGGUAGGCUCUUGCGAGUGCACGUGUAAGGCGACGGCGUCGAAGAGUUCAUCGACAAUACACGAAUCGACGAGCUCACCCAGGUGUCACCUCGUCUCUCGGUCCUCUCUCGCCAAUGUUUUAUUUUUAUUACCUGUGCCGCGUGCAUUAUCUAUACGGGGACACGUGUCGCCGCUCACACUUCCGUCCGGCCCUCAACGACGGGCUUUCAUGUCGCGACAGCGUGUCCCACGCUCUCGAGGACAUGGCCCACUCGAGAUAAGAUCGUCCGUUAGAUAAGGAGAGGCCCGCGGGCGCGAGCAGCCCUUGAUAAA